UUGGCAGCUCCCCUUCCUCCUAGGUGGGACAGCAAGCCCCAAUGAAUAGGUCCUCUGCUGCAUCACAGCCAUCCUCCUGGUACUGUAGUCCCAAUUGAAUUUGGAGAACGUGAUAUUAAGACUCCAGAAAGAUGUCUUCUGAACAGCAGCAGUGCAAGCAGCCUUGCCAGCCACCUCCAGUGUGCCCACCUAAGUGCCCUGAUCCUUGCUCACCU
Balaenoptera musculus (blue whale) is the source of this 215-nucleotide long non-coding RNA. RefSeq lists it as uncharacterized. The transcript has 2 exons. Lineage: Eukaryota; Metazoa; Chordata; Mammalia; Artiodactyla; Balaenopteridae. The record is from RefSeq and is a predicted model, not a curated record.